CAGGGGUGUGCCCAUCGCUCCCACUCUCCAGCCAAGCUAGGGAAGGGCAGGGCGGGAGAGCGGGAAGCUGGGCCUCUUGCUUUUCUUUCACAUUCCCAGCAUGGUAGAUGGGUGUGGACAUCAAUCCGAAGCCCACUUCCUUUCGAGGGAUCAACAGGAUGUCUCAUCACCGCGCAAAUGCGGCUGCCCCUGUUUAACCCCAUCACAGCCUGGUGCUUCAGGAUCCCUCAAAGUCCAGGGUCAAGGCCCAUUCUCUCCCUGGAUCCUGCCUUCCCUGCUCCACCGGCUCCCUUCUCCAGCCCAACUCCAUUCCUUUCAAAGGGUCUUGUUCCCUGGAGCCUGCCAGCACCGAUCCUGUGUUCCCUAGGAGUCCGGAAGAGAUGUGAGCUUGAAAGAUGGGCAGAAGUGACAAAGGGAGACACAAGGCAGAGAGAGGAGCAGAAGCAGGAAUACAGGACACAGCAGACCCUCGAGCUUGGCGGGACACAGGAUCCUGCUCUGCAACAUCCACUUCCUGCUCCCGAUCUCCCUGAAGGGGCUGCUGCUCGUGGGCCUGCUCUGCACUGUGCUGCAAGUGAGCAGUGCUAAGGGGGCCUCCAGGGGGAAAUAAAGUCACAGCCUGAGCCGGGGAACCGCAGCUCCCACACCAUCAACACCCUCAGAGGGGGCAAGCAGAACCUCUGGCCUCCUAUCAGGAGCAGAUAAAAGAAAGGACAUCCCCCUUGCACACUGAUUCCUUGGAGGCAUCUGCAUCUCACCUUCAUGGAUCCUCCCUCAGGCCUCCUUUCCUUGUGGCUCCAGGAUGACCCUGUCAGAGAUAAUGGACUAUCGUUCAGUUGCAGAGGCCCCAGGGCCCGUCUGGACUUUUCCAUCCCAAGAGGGGCUCAGCUCUAUCCCCUUUGUGCCUGUGACACUCUCCAUCCCCCACCCGGCUCAGAACUGGCACAGCCACCACCAACCACUCCUGAUUCAACCCAAGCUUGGCCCUUUCCACCUCUCAAACUGUGCAACAGCAAAUGCAGGAUGCUCAGCCCUCAUGUGUCAGUCCCCCCAAUUCACUUGUAAUUAAAUAACAACACACCUCUUUUUCUAAUUUUCAAAGGUAUAUCUAUUUCCCCUCAAUAAAGUUGUUAG
RNAcentral lists this long non-coding RNA (1134 nucleotides) under Pan troglodytes (chimpanzee). Its description in RNAcentral is "long non-coding RNA NONPTRT006919". The record is from RNAcentral. Lineage: Eukaryota; Metazoa; Chordata; Mammalia; Primates; Hominidae.